CGUGCCGGAGCCUCGCGGGGCCGCGCGGCAAACUGACCGGAAGACACGUGGCGGCGGCGACGCCGGCAGCAGCUGUGCAUCCUGACUGGCCGCGCUGAGGAGAUGCCGUUUCCCUUCUCUCUGCUUCAACAAAUUCUUUGAGGCCAGAGAGAUGUGGAAUGGGACCCCUCCUGACCUUACCAUCUCAGCGUGACCUGGACAGGGGAGAGAGAAGCAGAGACUGAGCAGGCUUUUGCUGAGGACAGGAGCCUUGUGGUGGAAUGAGACUGGACGGAGGAGCAAAAGGAAGAUGCAGUGAAGGAAUCGCUGUCACCUGGUCAUGAAGUUCCUGGCAGAAUCAUUCACUGGAGCAACACUACCAGGCACAGUUCCUGCCCCAGGGGCCCCUGAGGGCUGGAAGAGAGGGAUUACCAGUAAUAUGGGAGCCCCUUCUAAGAAAUCACUCCUCUGGUGCACUCCUCCUCUUCCUUCUUCUCCAGGAGGACCUCCUAUCAGAGAAUACACCACCUUGCAGAGUCUUGGUUUUGACAUGACAUCCUCAGGGAAGAAAGACAUCCAAGAUCCCCAAUCCCUGGGUCUGACAUAAGCGACCCUCAGCCCACUCCCAUAGCACCUCAUACCAUCUCAGGUGGCAUAGAGGCACCCAACGUGGUAUUGUUGUUCAUCUGUCUGCUUUAUUCCUUAAAAGAGGGAUAUAUGUCACUACCCUCAUCAACUGACACACAGUAAACCAUCAAAUACUUGUCAGACAAAUGACUCUGUUGGUCUUCUCAGAUUGUUUUAGAAAGUUCUCCAUCAAUUUUUGCUAUUUGAUUAAUCUCUGCAAAUUGACUCCUACCCAAAGCAUGCAAGGGAAAAUUUUGUCUUAACCUUGAUCAAUUGGUAGUGAGUACUGAUUUAGAAAGGCUGAGUGAACUUUUGUGUCUUCUCUGACUGCCACUCCCCAGGUAAACACACAGUUCACUCUGGGAGGGCUGGGAUCUCCCCAUCUCUGGGCUGUGACACCUUGGACCAGUGGGCUCUGCUGUUGGACCUGGGGGGCUUCAGUGGUGCGGGCAGGGGGCCGCCCGAUGAAGUCCAAGGACAGCCAGCUCUGCCACAUUGUGUAUGAUUCCAGCCUCCAUCACCCACAUCUGCAGCCACCCAAAUGCAGAUUAAGUCCUUUGAUGGCAGGCUCUAAAAAACAGGAGGAAGAUUUUCUCUCUGGUUGGAACAUUUGAAAUAACAUCUUUUCAAGUGCGUUGAAGAUCAGAAUAUAAAUAAGUUGGGGGUGUGGUAGAAAGGAGUAGUGGAAGGAGGGGCUGGGCUAUUCUGAAAGGGGUGGUCUAUUCUGCAGCUUGGUCUAUUCUGAAAGGGGUGGUGGUGAAGCUUGCUUUCUUUUCUCUGCAAAAUGACAAAAUCACUGUGGGGACAUUUACAGGCAGAAUCUUUUUGACAUUUUUAAAUCUCUGAAAUCAUCAAAAAGAAAACAUUCUACCACGUGCAUUGGCACGGGAAAUGCUUUUUGUCGUGGGGUUGUCUAAAAGACACUAAUGGAGCUUGGUUAGCUUCGUCAAGAUGGCUCUCUGAAUUUUUGGAUCUCUGAAACAUUACUUAUAGUCUCCUGAGCAGCAUUUAUGCCACGUGGAAGGUGGGGCAGAGAGUCCUAAGUUCUCACAAGUCACUGCAGAUGCGGCCAGCAUGCCAGGUUCACAUCUCCCUUCUUGGAAUGGAGGGGCAGGGACAGCAAUGAAAAUAUUUGAGGUGUGGGACUCUGUCUGACUACCCUUCACUGACUCAAAUCGGCCUGCAAGUUAGCUGAUGGAGGCCAGUCCUGCACCCCAGCUCAUGCCUAACAACCUAGGAAAAUGAAGGAGCUUCAGCUUUUCAUUCAGGACUAGGAAUGGAGCCCAGAAAUCCCUGGAGGGUCAUUGAGCCUUUGGCUCCCUCACUCCCCCAUGUCCCUUGUCGGUGGUGACUUAUUGGACAAUGUUCAUAAACAAGCACUUGGCUUGGAAAGCAAAGAAACCAUAAUCCUGAUGUCCCAGUGAGGGGCAAGCAGCUUUCACUUUCAGUUACUUGGCCACCUGUAAAUAAAUCACCUACUUUUCCCAGUUUCCACCUGACAUUCCAUCAUGGCCAUCAGUCCAACCUCAACAAUUGCUGGCCCAGUUCAUUGUCCUUUAGGAUCCAGUGUGAUGCAAAAUCCAGCAACCCACUAGCACUUAAUGACAACUCCGAGCAAAGAUGCACUGACCACAGGGACACCUUUUGUGUUACUGAAUCUAUUCCUUUCAUGGAAGAGCGAAGCUGAGGGAGAAAAGGGGCUCGGGCCUUGCAUGUCCAGGCUCAGAGGAUGAGCCUAGGUGGACGGUGCAGCUAGAGCCUCAAACAGACUCUUCAACACAGCAUGACUCCAGACUGUGCCCUUCUAGGAAGCCCGGGACAUACUAUGGGCUGGCUCUGAGGCAACAUGUUAGCCAUAACCUUCAUGUCUAAGAGGGGCUAAGUAGCAUAACCCCACAUGAACAUAGGCUGGUCACUCCUUUUGGAUAUGGGAGGCAGGGUCAGCUCUGUGUCCAGGGUUCCUCUUUUAUAAUUUUUACAGAUGCUCACAGAAAGGUGUGAUAACUUGCUAGGUGCCAAGAACAAGGGAGUCACCUGGCCUGAACAUAAUUCAUGGCAGUAAGCACAUCCAAGGGACUGUCCUGCCCAGAUCCGCACAGGUGUGCUCAAAUACUCAACUCCAACCUUAUCCAAAAAACUGCUUUCAGUUCUUAAACUGCUUCUGGAUUGUUAAACCCUCUGAGCAUUAAUUAGGCAGAAGCUCUGGACCUCUUUUUUUUUUAAUAUUUUAUUUAUUUAUUCAUGAGAGACACAGAGAGGCAGAGACAUAGGCAGAGGGAGAAGCAGGCGCCCUGUGGAGAGUC
Long non-coding RNA from Canis lupus familiaris (dog), 2909 nucleotides. RefSeq lists it as uncharacterized. The record is from RefSeq and is a predicted model, not a curated record. The transcript is spliced from 5 exons. NCBI's taxonomy places the organism in Eukaryota, Metazoa, Chordata, Mammalia, Carnivora, Canidae.